AUAACUAAGCGGAGGAAAAGAAACUAACCAGGAUUCCCCCAGUAACGGCGAGUGAAGCGGGAAGAGCUCGUGUUGUGAACCCGGCCUUCGGGUCUGGAUUGUAGUCUGGAGAGGCGUUGCCAGCCGGCGCGGGGUCGAAGUCUCUUGGAAAAGAGCAUCAAGGAGGGUGACAAUCCCGUUCCGGUCCCCGCUCGUCGAGCGCACGGCGCGCUUUCUACGAGUCGAGUUGCUUGGGAUUGCAGCUCAAAGCGGGUGGUAAAUUCCAUCUAAAGCUAAAUACGGGUGGGAGACCGAUAGCGAACAAGUACCGUGAGGGAAAGAUGCAAAGAACUUUGAAAAGAGAGUUAAAGAGUGCCUGAAAUUGCUGAAAGGGAAGCGAAGGAAGCCAGUGUCUGGCGGUUGUGCUUCUCCGACGGUCUUCGGACCGUCGGCUGCGCCUCCGCCGUGGCCAGGGUCGGGUCGGGCCGCGGGAUCCCACGUCCCCGGGAGGUACGUCUCUUCGGAGAGGGNAUGCCGGGGCGCUCUUUGUCGCGGUCUUGGGCCGGCCCCGACGAAAUGGUUUUCUUCAC
RNAcentral lists this ribosomal RNA (569 nucleotides) under Bifurcaria bifurcata. Its description in RNAcentral is "eukaryotic LSU rRNA". It matches the Rfam family "Eukaryotic large subunit ribosomal RNA", at positions 42 to 512 of the family's 3401-position model. The record is from RNAcentral. Lineage: Eukaryota; Phaeophyceae; Fucales; Sargassaceae.